This 892-nucleotide ribosomal RNA is filed under the name uncultured bacterium. RNAcentral describes it as "bacterial SSU rRNA". It matches the Rfam family "Bacterial small subunit ribosomal RNA", at positions 62 to 985 of the family's 1533-position model. The record is from RNAcentral.
UCGACGAUGAAUCUUCUAGCUUGCUAGAAGUGGAUUAGUGGCGCACGGGUGAGUAAUGCAUAGGUUAUGUGCCCUUUAGUCUGGGAUAGCCACUGGAAACGGUGAUUAAUACUGGAUACUCCCUACGGGGGAAAGUUUUUCGCUAAAGGAUCAGCCUAUGUCCUAUCAGCUUGUUGGUGAGGUAAUGGCUCACCAAGGCUAUGACGGGUAUCCGGCCUGAGAGGGUGAUCGGACACACUGGAACUGAGACACGGUCCAGACUCCUACGGGAGGCAGCAGUAGGGAAUAUUGCUCAAUGGGGGAAACCCUGAAGCAGCAACGCCGCGUGGAGGAUGAAGGUUUUAGGAUUGUAAACUCCUUUUGUUAGAGAAGAUUAUGACGGUAUCUAACGAAUAAGCACCGGCUAACUCCGUGCCAGCAGCCGCGGUAAUACGGAGGGUGCAAGCGUUACUCGGAAUCACUGGGCGUAAAGAGUGCGUAGGCGGGGUAAUAAGUCAGAUGUGAAAUCCUGUAGCUUAACUACAGAACUGCAUUUGAAACUGUUACUCUGGAGUGUGGGAGAGGUAGGUGGAAUUCUUGGUGUAGGGGUAAAAUCCGUAGAGAUCAAGAGGAAUACUCAUUGCGAAGGCGACCUGCUGGAACAUUACUGACGCUGAUGCACGAAAGCGUGGGGAGCAAACAGGAUUAGAUACCCUGGUAGUCCACGCCCUAAACGAUGGAUGCUAGUUGUUGCCUUGCUUGUCAGGGCAGUAAUGCAGCUAACGCAUUAAGCAUCCCGCCUGGGGAGUACGGUCGCAAGAUUAAAACUCAAAGGAAUAGACGGGGACCCGCACAAGCGGUGGAGCAUGUGGUUUAAUUCGAAGAUACGCGAAGAACCUUACCUAGGCUUGAC